AGCAGCCGCGGUAAUUCCAGCUCCAAUAGCGUAUAUUAAAGUUGUUGCAGUUAAAAAGCUCGUAGUUGAAUUUCGGGGUUAGCAGGUCGGUCGUGCCAUCGGUAUGAACUGGUCUCGCUGAUCCCUCCCUCUUGACGAACUGUGAUGCCAUUAAUUUGGUGUCGCAGGGAAUCAGGACUGUUACUUUGAAAAAUUAGAGUGUUUAAAGCAGGCUCACGCUUGAAUACAUUAGCAUGGAAUAAUGAAAUAGGACGUUUGAUCCUAUUUUGUUGGCUUCUAGGAUUGACGUAAUGAUUAAUAGGGAUAGUUGGGGGCAUUAGUAUUCAAUUGUCAGAGGUGAAAUUCUUGGAUUUAUUGAAGACUAACUACUGCGAAAGCAUUUGCCAAGGAUGUUUUCAUUAAUCAAGAACGAAAGUUAGGGGAUCGAAGACGAUCAGAUACCGUCGUAGUCUUAACCAUAAACUAUGCCGACUAGGGAUCGGAUGAUGUUAAUUUUUA
This 498-nucleotide ribosomal RNA is filed under the name uncultured Glomus. RNAcentral describes it as "SSU rRNA". It matches the Rfam family "Eukaryotic small subunit ribosomal RNA", at positions 569 to 1072 of the family's 1831-position model. The record is from RNAcentral. Lineage: Eukaryota; Fungi; Glomeromycota; Glomeromycetes; Glomerales; Glomeraceae.